Non-coding RNA from Misgurnus anguillicaudatus (oriental weatherfish), 1136 nucleotides. Lineage: Eukaryota; Metazoa; Chordata; Actinopteri; Cypriniformes; Cobitidae. The record is from RefSeq and is a predicted model, not a curated record.
UGACGUCACGCGUUCUUCCAGAAGUUCACAUUCAAACACGAGGAGCGAUUACGAGGGAGUUUUGUCUAUAUAUCAUUCAAAAUCUACUGUUGGGAAAAGCAGAACCUCAUCCAAAUAAAAAUAAACAAGCUGUUAAAGGCACUGUGUCCUACACAGACCCUCCAAAAUAUAACCACCCAAAAAGUCAGUUGAAGGUCAACACAAACCAAAUAAAGAUGUGCAUUCUACAAACAAUAAAAAAAGAUCAAGUUUUGUGUCCACCACACUUAGAUGAGGCGUGCCCGACCCCUGACUUUGUCUACCCUACAUUAAGUUGCACACUUCAUGACAGUAAACAUCGGUAUCACAAUGGUGUGAUUGAUCUAUACCCUAGAAUAAGCUGUGACACUAUGAGACGUGAGGUAACACAACGAAAAAAUUACCGGAUGGAGACUACCUGAUUCUUCACCUAUGGCCUCAGCUUCAAAUGCAACAUGUCCAGCAACUGUCUGAGUUGGUGGAUAUUCUGUCAGAGACUGCGUGAACAACGUUAUGAACAGAAUGAUGUCAAAUUGUCUAAUGGCAAAGUUCAAUAUGAGGGGUGGUGGACAUCUGGAAAAGAAGUCUUUUAAAGGCACACCUUUGUAUUAUGUUAUUCAAGAUGCUGUGAAGAGGUGGAGCCCAAAUGCCACAGACUCGGAAAUAGAUGCAGCUAUGGCAGACCACCUCAAGCACGCUCCAGGAAGAGCUGGGGGUGGUGGAUACAAAAAAGCCAAACAGCUGUGAUGUGUUAAAGAGAGAGUUCACCAAAAAAAGGAAAAUUGUUAUAAUUUUCUUAUCCACAUGUUUCAAACCUGUAUACCUUUAUAUUUUCUGCUGAACACAAAGAUUGAAGAAUGUUUGUAACUUCACAACCAAUUAACUGUCAAUAUUUUUUUUACAAUUGUAGUAAUGGGUUGUGGGAUCUGCUUUGUUAAAAACAUUCUUUCACAUAUCUUUGUGUUCAGCAGAACAUAGAAGGGUAUACAGGUUUGAAACAUGAGAGGGAAUAAAUGACUAAAUAUUAAUUUUUGGGUGAACUAUCCCUUUAUAGAAAGUGUUUUGAAGUUGUUAUUAUAGUUAAAUGGUUAAAAAAAAUAAAAAGUGCUAAAUCAGAA